AGUUAUCCUUGAAGAAAAAGGAGGUCGAUGUGUUUGCCGAAGCUGCCCAAGAAGGACUCACGGAGCUUGGAAAGCAUACAAGAAUAAGCCAAGAAAAAAGCCAUAACCCCAUCUUUGCAACUUGAAAGCUGGGGAAGUAGGAGAGGUGGGCUUAGUAUCCUUCAGACUAUUGGAGUCUUGAGAGAGUACAAUACACUGAAGCUUAUAGCAGCUUUGAUUCCUUGCAUAUUCCCUGUGACUCACAAUUAUACAAUGCUAGCUCUCACACUAGAUCUGGUCCUAAAAAAACCUGUUGGGUGUCCAUCCAUCAA
Molecule: long non-coding RNA, 311 nt
Filed under: Phoenix dactylifera (date palm)
Lineage: Eukaryota; Viridiplantae; Streptophyta; Magnoliopsida; Arecales; Arecaceae
Description: long non-coding RNA (PDAC_LNC005617)
Source: RNAcentral